GAGUUUGAUCUGGCUCAGAACGAACGCUGGCGGCGUGCCUAACACAUGCAAGUCGUACGAGAAAAUUCGCUUCGGCGGAUGAGUAAAGUGGCGCACGGGUGAGUAACGCGUGGAUAAUCUUCCCUUUAGUCUGGGAUAACUCACCGAAAGGUGAACUAAUACUGAAUAAUACUGUUUCUGCUAAGGCGGAGCAGUUAAAGAGGACCUCUGUAUACAAGUUCUUGCUAAAGGAUGAGUCCGCGUACCAUUAGCUAGUUGGUAGGGUAAUAGCCUACCAAGGCGACGAUGGUUAGCUGGUCCGAGAGGAUGAUCAGCCACACUGGAAUUGAGAUACGGUCCAGACUCCUACGGGAGGCAGCAGUGAGGGAUUUUGCGCAAUGGGGGAAACCCUGACGCAGCAACGCCGCGUGAGUGAGGAAGGCCUUCGGGUCGUAAAGCUCUGUCAGAUGGGAAGAAAUGCGGGAAUGUCAAUAGCUUUCCCGCUUGACGGUACCAUCAGAGGAAGCACCGGCUAACUCCGUGCCAGCAGCCGCGGUAAUACG
RNAcentral lists this ribosomal RNA (542 nucleotides) under uncultured delta proteobacterium. RNAcentral describes it as "bacterial SSU rRNA". It matches the Rfam family "Bacterial small subunit ribosomal RNA", at positions 9 to 527 of the family's 1533-position model. The record is from RNAcentral. Lineage: Bacteria; Deltaproteobacteria.